UGGGGAAUUUUGGACAAUGGGCGCAAGCCUGAUCCAGCCAUGCCGCGUGCGGGAAGAAGGCCUUCGGGUUGUAAACCGCUUUUGUCAGGGAAGAAAUCUUCUGAGUUAAUACCUCGGGAGGAUGACGGUACCUGAAGAAUAAGCACCGGCUAACUACGUGCCAGCAGCCGCGGUAAUACGUAGGGUGCAAGCGUUAAUCGGAAUUACUGGGCGUAAAGCGUGCGCAGGCGGUUUUGUAAGACAGAGGUGAAAUCCCCGGGCUCAACCUGGGAACUGCCUUUGUGACUGCAAGGCUUGAGUGCGGCAGAGGGGGGAUGGAAUUCCGCGUGUAGCAGUGAAAUGCGUAGAUAUGCGGAGGAACACCGAUGGCGAAGGCAAUCCCCUGGGCCUGCACUGACGCUCAUGCACGAAAGCGUGGGGAGCAAACAGGAUUAGAUACCCCUGGUAGUCCACGCCCUAAACGAUGUCAACUGGUUGUUGGGAAGGUUCCUUCUCAGUAACGUAGCUAACGCGUGAAGUUGACCGCCUGGGGAGUACGGCCGCAAGGUUGAAACUUAAAGGAA
This 563-nucleotide ribosomal RNA is filed under the name uncultured bacterium. Its description in RNAcentral is "partial 16S ribosomal RNA". It matches the Rfam family "Bacterial small subunit ribosomal RNA", at positions 355 to 909 of the family's 1533-position model. The record is from RNAcentral.